GACGAACGCUGGCGGCGUGCUUAACACAUGCAAGUCGAACGGAAAGGCCCUGCUUUUGUGGGGUGCUCGAGUGGCGAACGGGUGAGUAACACGUGAGUAACCUGCCCUUGACUUUGGGAUAACUUCAGGAAACUGGGGCUAAUACCGGAUAGGAGCUCCUGCUGCAUGGUGGGGGUUGGAAAGUUUCGGCGGUUGGGGAUGGACUCGCGGCUUAUCAGCUUGUUGGUGGGGUAGUGGCUUACCAAGGCUUUGACGGGUAGCCGGCCUGAGAGGGUGACCGGCCACAUUGGGACUGGGAUUCGGCCCAGACUCCUACGGGAGGCAGCAGGGGGGAAUAUUGCACAAUGGGCGGAAGCCUGAUGCAGCAACGCCGCGUGCGGGAUGACGGCCUUCGGGUUGGAAACCGCUUUCGCCUGUGACGAAGCGUGAGUGACGGUAAUGGGUAAAGAAGCACCGGCUAACUACGUG
RNAcentral lists this ribosomal RNA (468 nucleotides) under uncultured bacterium. RNAcentral describes it as "partial 16S ribosomal RNA". It matches the Rfam family "Bacterial small subunit ribosomal RNA", at positions 28 to 507 of the family's 1533-position model. The record is from RNAcentral.